GGGGGAUUAGCUCAGUUUGGCUAGAGCGCUUGAUUUGCAUUCAAGAGGUCAUCGGUUCGACUCCGAUAUUCUCCA
RNAcentral lists this transfer RNA (75 nucleotides) under Bacteroidales bacterium OttesenSCG-928-K03. RNAcentral's name for it is "tRNA-Ala". It matches the Rfam family "tRNA". From Rfam's summary of the family: Transfer RNA (tRNA) molecules are approximately 80 nucleotides in length. Their secondary structure includes four short double-helical elements and three loops (D, anti-codon, and T loops). The record is from RNAcentral. RNAcentral also lists the same sequence under 3 other names. Lineage: Bacteria; Pseudomonadati; Bacteroidota; Bacteroidia; Bacteroidales.